RNAcentral lists this ribosomal RNA (253 nucleotides) under uncultured bacterium. RNAcentral's name for it is "partial 16S ribosomal RNA". It matches the Rfam family "Bacterial small subunit ribosomal RNA", at positions 524 to 776 of the family's 1533-position model. The record is from RNAcentral.
UACGUAGGGGGCAAGCGUUGUCCGGAAUCAUUGGGCGUAAAGCGCGCGUAGGUGGCCCGGUAAGUCCGCUGUAAAAGUCCAGGGCUCAACCCUGGAAAGCCGGUGGAUACUGUCGGGCUCGAGUCCGGAAGAGGCGAGUGGAAUUCCUGGUGUAGCGGUGGAAUGCGCAGAUAUCAGGAGGAACACCGAUGGCGAAGGCAGCUCGCUGGGACGGUACUGACACUGAGGUGCGAAAGCGUGGGGAGCGAACAGG